RNAcentral lists this microRNA (22 nucleotides) under Homo sapiens (human). RNAcentral describes it as "hsa-miR-4423-5p". The record is from miRBase by way of RNAcentral. Lineage: Eukaryota; Metazoa; Chordata; Mammalia; Primates; Hominidae.
AGUUGCCUUUUUGUUCCCAUGC